RNAcentral lists this ribosomal RNA (256 nucleotides) under uncultured bacterium. RNAcentral describes it as "partial 16S ribosomal RNA". It matches the Rfam family "Bacterial small subunit ribosomal RNA", at positions 524 to 776 of the family's 1533-position model. The record is from RNAcentral.
UACAGAGGGUGCGAGCGUUGUCCGGAAUCACUGGGCGUAAAGGGCGCGUAGGUGGUUGGGUAAGCGUGUGGUGAAAGCGCGGGGCUCAACCCCGCGUCGGCCAUUGAUACUGCCGCGGCUCGAGCACUGCAGAGGCAGGCGGAAUUCCGGGUGUAGCGGUGGAAUGCGUAGAGAUCCGGAAGAACACCGGUGGCGAAGGCGGCCUGCUGGGCAGUUUAGCUGACACUGAGGCGCGACAGCGUGGGGAGCAAACAGG